This 662-nucleotide long non-coding RNA is filed under the name Mustela putorius furo (domestic ferret). RNAcentral describes it as "lncRNA (ENSMPUG00000024863.1)". The record is from RNAcentral. Lineage: Eukaryota; Metazoa; Chordata; Mammalia; Carnivora; Mustelidae.
GAAAACUUCCAUGACUAAUCAGGAAGACCGCCAAGGAGAAAGAAGUUUCCCGAUGGUUCCAUCAAGGCCCAAGGAAGAGUGUGCUUUGACUCUAAGAAUUGGCCGUUCCCAUCCCUUGGCAGGGAGACCGUCUGAACAGAGGUGGAUAACAAGGUGUGGCAGCUUGAGGCCACUGGUCACUGGGAUCUGGGAACUCCGCUCUGACUCCGAGUCAGCUGACUGUGUAUCGGCUCUCCCUGGAGAGAGGAUAGAGGCCAGAUCCACUCCUCAUUAUAAUGCUGCCAGAUGAGACUCACUCUGAGGGAGCAGCUGGGAGGACUGGAAUUCAGGAACCUUCUGGCCCAGGGGAUCUUGACCUGGACAUGCCCAGACCACCCGCAAACCAGUCUCUGGGGGUGGGGUCAGUUUUUUUUUUAAAGCUCCACAGGUGAGGUGAAUGAGAACCACAGACCUAGUCUCACCCCCUCCUUCUGUAAAGUGAGAACACCUCGGCCCAGAGAGGAGAAGGCUCUUGGCUGAGGUCACCCAGCUAGUUAGCAGGGAAAUUCUGACUAGACUGUGAAAGCCUUAAAGACUAAAGCCCUGUACUUUCAGUUUCGAAGUUUCAAAUGAACUCUUCCCUGCUCCUGUGGUCUGACAGCGCAGGCAGGCCUCCAAGAGAC